This 1395-nucleotide ribosomal RNA is filed under the name uncultured bacterium. Its description in RNAcentral is "16S ribosomal RNA". It matches the Rfam family "Bacterial small subunit ribosomal RNA". The record is from RNAcentral.
AGAGUUUGAUCCUGGCUCAGGAUGAACGCUAGCUACAGGCUUAACACAUGCAAGUCGAGGGGCAGCAUCAUCAAAGCUUGCUUUGAUGGAUGGCGACCGGCGCACGGGUGAGUAACACGUAUCCAACCUGCCGACAACACUGGGAUAGCCUUUCGAAAGAAAGAUUAAUACCGGAUGGCAUAGUUUUUCCGCAUGGGAUAAUUAUUAAAGAAUUUCGGUUGUCGAUGGGGAUGCGUUCCAUUAGGCAGUUGGCGGGGUAACGGCCCACCAAACCAACGAUGGAUAGGGGUUCUGAGAGGAAGGUCCCCCACAUUGGAACUGAGACACGGUCCAAACUCCUACGGGAGGCAGCAGCGAGGAAUAUUGGUCAAUGGACGAGAGUCUGAACCAGCCAAGUAGCGUGAAGGAUGACUGCCCUAUGGGUUGUAAACUUCUUUUAUACGGGAAUAAAGUUAGCCACGUGUGGCUUUUUGUAUGUACCGUAUGAAUAAGGAUCGGCUAACUCCGUGCCAGCAGCCGCGGUAAUACGGAGGAUCCGAGCGUUAUCCGGAUUUAUUGGGUUUAAAGGGAGCGUAGGCGGGUUGUUAAGUCAGUUGUGAAAGUUUGCGGCUCAACCGUAAAAUUGCAGUUGAUACUGGCGACCUUGAGUGCAACAGAGGUAGGCGGAAUUCGUGGUGUAGCGGUGAAAUGCUUAGAUAUCACGAAGAACUCCGAUUGCGAAGGCAGCUCACUGGAGUGUAACUGACGCUGAUGCUCGAAAGUGUGGGUAUCAAACAGGAUUAGAUACCCUGGUAGUCCACACAGUAAACGAUGAAUACUCGCUGUUUGCGAUAUACAGUAAGCGGCCAAGCGAAAGCAUUAAGUAUUCCACCUGGGGAGUACGCCGGCAACGGUGAAACUCAAAGGAAUUGACGGGGGCCCGCACAAGCGGAGGAACAUGUGGUUUAAUUCGAUGAUACGCGAGGAACCUUACCCGGGCUUAAAUUGCAAAUGAAUUAUGGGGAAACCCAUAGGCCGUAAGGCAUUUGUGAAGGUGCUGCAUGGUUGUCGUCAGCUCGUGCCGUGAGGUGUCGGCUUAAGUGCCAUAACGAGCGCAACCCUUAUCUUCAGUUACUAACAGGUCAUGCUGAGGACUCUGGAGAGACUGCCGUCGUAAGAUGUGAGGAAGGUGGGGAUGACGUCAAAUCAGCACGGCCCUUACGUCCGGGGCCACACACGUGUUACAAUGGUAGGUACAGAGGGCAGCUACCCUGCGAAGGGAUGCGAAUCUCGAAAGCCUAUCUCAGUUCGGAUUGGAGGCUGAAACCCGCCUCCAUGAAGUUGGAUUCGCUAGUAAUCGCGCAUCAGCCAUGGCGCGGUGAAUACGUUCCCGGGCCUUGCACUCACCGCCCGUCA